This is a long non-coding RNA of Oncorhynchus kisutch (coho salmon), 911 nucleotides long. RefSeq lists it as uncharacterized. Lineage: Eukaryota; Metazoa; Chordata; Actinopteri; Salmoniformes; Salmonidae. The transcript has 2 exons. The record is from RefSeq and is a predicted model, not a curated record.
AGAGUAAUGGGCAGGUGGAGAGAGUGAACCAGGAUGUGGGCAGGUUUCUGCCCAGGGGAGUGGGCAGCGUUCGUGCCCUGGGUCGAGAUUGUCACAGAACUCGCUUCGCCACUCAUCCACUAACCUCUCUCCCUUCCAGUGCGUACUGGGGUACCAGCCGGUUCUGGCGCCUUGGCAUCAGAGUCAGACCGAGGUUCCUGCGGUGGACGACUGGUUCAGGCGCGCGGAAGAGACAUGGGAAGCUGUCCGUGUUCACCUUCAGCAGGCCGUGACGUGCCAAAAGGCUGGUGGUGGCUGGCCCGCUCCAGGAGUCUGAGGUGCGGGAGGUUCCUCCACCCCCUCUAGACAUCGGGGGGCCCCAGCGUACUCCGUUCGCUCCAUACUGGAUUCGAGGCGUCGGGCGAGGGGCCUUCAGUAUCUCGUGGAGUGGGAGGGGUACGGUCUGGAGGAGAGGUGCUGGGUUCCGGUCGAGGACAUGUUGGACCCUUCAAUGCUGCAGGAGUUCCACCGUCUUCGCCCAGGUCGCCCUGCGCCUCGACCUCCGGGUCGUCCCCGAGGCCGGUGUCGACGCGCUGCUGGAGCCACGUCAAGGGGGGGAGUACUGUCACGACUUCCGCCGAAGUUGGUCCCUCUCCUUGUUCGGGCGGCGUCGAAGUCACCGACCUUCUAGCCAUCGCUGAUCCACUUUUCAUUUUCUAUUGGUUUUGUCUUGUCUUCCAUCACACCUGGUUCCAAUUCCAUCAAUUACAUGUUGUGUAUUUAACCCUCUGUUCCCCCUCAUGUCCUUGUCGGUAAUUGUUUCUGGUAGUGCUUUAGCACGGUAUGCUGGUAUUUACCAGGUUUUGUUUGACCCAUUUAUUGUGUUCUGUUGACGGUGGUUUAUGGAUAUUAAAGGACACUGUUGUAAAUCA